Molecule: long non-coding RNA, 2183 nt
Organism: Seriola aureovittata
Lineage: Eukaryota; Metazoa; Chordata; Actinopteri; Carangiformes; Carangidae
Exons: 3
Source: RefSeq, a predicted model, not a curated record
UCUUCCAAUUCCAAAAUCCACCUUCAAACUGCCAGUAAUCAGCUGGAUCCUUGGAGCAUCUGGGGGAAAGAAAUAACAGGAGACACUAAGAUUCACUGUAAAGUCCUUAAAAAGUAUGAUUUCAUUAUUUUUUGUUUCCCAUUACUUUAAUAAAGCUUAAACAAAUGUUAUUUAAAUGAUCAGUACCGACAAAGAAUGCUCUGACCUUCUGUGGCUGCUUUCUAAUGUUCCACCGGACUAAACAUCAAACACCUGAAGCUCAUCUUCACAACUCUGCUGGUGUUAAACAGACUGUGCAGCCACGAUGUAGGAGAUACUGACAAUGUGCCUGAAAAUAAUGGAGAAAUAUUCUGCCAUUUACUGGAGAGCAGGUUUCUGUUGGUCAAUUUAAACAACUGGCUAUUUAAACAAUGUGUGCACUGGAUGGAAAAAUUAACAACUGCAUCAGUCUGAAACUAGCAAAGACACUUGAGUUGUGCUUUACACCAGGUGAAAGAGUCUCAUUCCCUCCCUGGUCAGCUGUUUGGAAAAACUGAAGCAGUAGAUGACAUGAAACUUCAUUCAGCUGAACAGGAGAAAACAGGGACGGCUGAUCUGUGAACACCUGGAGUCUAGACCAGUGAAAACAAGUCAACAGACCAAUGGUGCAACUUCAUGACUCACAUCACAUGGUCUUCAGCCGACCACAGGUUUAACAGUAAAACUCUGUCACUCAGUCAGUUUAAACAAUCCUCCUGUUGGUCACAAAGCAGCUGCUGGUCCGGCUUCACAGAACAUCUCACACAUGCUGUUAGUUCACAAUCCCAGCAGAUCACACGCUGGAAAUCUCCAUGUGCCAGGAGCAUUUUCAAAGUGUAGUGAGAUGCUUUCAGCAUCUGUGCACCUGAAACAGUUUACCUGCUGAUCUUAGACUCGCCCCAUCAAUGUGUUCUUUUAAAACCAAACUAAAGACCUUCCAUUUCUUAAAUGCUGGAGGACGGUGCUUUUAAAGCAGAGACACUUCAUUCUGUUCCCCACCACCUGGUGAUUUACUGUCACUCCUGCUUCUUCAGCAUCAUCAUGAUCUUACAGGUGAUGUGCUGCUGUGGGGACACAUCAAAAAAUAUCCAGUUAUAUCUCAGAGCUGUUACCUUGAAUAUUUGACAUGUUUCUUACUAAUAACUUCCAUGCUGUUGAGAUCAGUAACUGCACACCAUACUUCUUAGGGAGGCUUCUAGUACAGUGACGGCCGUCUACCCUGCACACAUCAAUGUUCACAUGAACUUCAGAUCAAACCAAAGAUAUUUAACACCAGUGAGGAAAUCAACAGGUGUUGACAGGUGAUGGUAGCAACACUUUUAAGAUCAGAAUUUAUAAAUAUUAAACUGUGAACAAGUGAUGGAUCAUCUCUAGCACUGUCACCACCUCCACAGGUGAAAGUAUUUACCAAUUAACAUCAGCAUGUUAGGGUAGAAAUAGCGGGUUGUCUUCCCUCCCAGAGACCAGGAGAGGCAGCCCAGGUGACAGUUCAAGGCAGCGACGGGGAAGAACACCUCCUGUCCUGGGAAGGAGAGUCUCCAGAGCUGUCUUCUUGGACUGAACUCGGGCCCUGCAAACUGGGCCAGUGUUAGCCGCCUGGUGGAGGCCGUUUGCAACCAGCUCUGCGUCUUCACCCGGUGGCCACGUGGUCCAGAGGGACCGCGAGGACUCGCUGGUCAUUCAGUCUCCAGGAUCAUGUGGCAUCAGAGAGGCGGUGCUGGCCGGCUCCAGGUUGAUGUCUCAUGAUGAUCUCAGUCCAGUGUUCCCGCUCUUUUAGCUCUGUGUUUGGUCUCCACCAGCUCCUGAGGGAAAUCUGUGUGUUUAGCUUCUUAAUGCUCCACUAUGUUCAGCAGCUGCUCUCGGACCGAGUCUCUGCUGUUUGCUGCUGAGGAGGUCGAGGACAGAGGCUACAGCCCAAGAAGUUUAUAUAUUCAAAGAUGACAGAGACGCUCACAUCAUGUGCUGUGGUGCAGUGGAUGGAUGGGCAUCGCGUGAGAAAACUAAGGUCAUCACAUGACUCACUGUCACAGGGGGAGGAGCCCUGGAGAGAGAUCAUCAGCUUCACCUGAACCUCAAGAAACAGAUGGAACUGACCCACCAGAACUGCAACCUGGAGCAAAAAGGUUGAAAAGGUGUUUAAUAAAUAAACCGGUGAUUAAAUUGUA